CGUAGGGGGUGCUACCAUGCAAGUCGAACGUGAUCCGCCCUUCGGGGUGGUGAAAGUGGCGCACGGGUGAGUAACGCGUGGAUAAUCUGCCCGAGGAUUUGGGAUAACAUCUCGAAAGGGGUGCUAAUACCGAAUAAGCCCACGGGGUCUACGGAUCUUGCGGGAAAAGGGGGGGACCUUCGGGCCUCCUGUCCUUGGAUGAGUCUGCGUACCAUUAGCUAGUUGGUGGGGUAAUGGCCUACCAAGGCGACGAUGGUUAGCUGGUCUGAGAGGAUGAUCAGCCACACUGGAACUGAGACACGGUCCAGACUCCUACGGGAGGCAGCAGUGGGGAAUUUUGCGCAAUGGGGGAAACCCUGACGCAGCAACGCCGCGUGGGUGAUGAAGGCCUUCGGGUCGUAAAGCUCUGUCUGGAGGGAAGAAAUGAUUGGGAGCUAAUACCUCUUGAUCUUGACGGUACCUCUGAAGGAAGCACCGGCUAACUCCGUGCCAGCAGCCGCGGUAAUACGGAGGGUGCAAGCGUUGUUCGGAAUUAUUGGGCGUAAAGCGCGUGUAGGCGGUCUUUUAAGUCUGAUGUGAAAGCCCCGGGCUCAACCUGGGAAGUGCAUUGGAAACUGGGAGGCUUGAGUACGGGAGAGGAGAGUGGAAUUCCUAGUGUAGGAGUGAAAUCCGUAGAUAUUAGGAGGAACACCGGUGGCGAAGGCGGCUCUCUGGACCGAUACUGACGCUGAGACGCGAAAGCGUGGGUAGCAAACAGGAUUAGAUACCCUGGUAGUCCACGCCGUAAACGAUGAGUACUAGUGUUGCGGGUAUUGACCCC
RNAcentral lists this ribosomal RNA (820 nucleotides) under uncultured Geobacter sp. RNAcentral's name for it is "bacterial SSU rRNA". It matches the Rfam family "Bacterial small subunit ribosomal RNA", at positions 38 to 839 of the family's 1533-position model. Lineage: Bacteria; Pseudomonadati; Thermodesulfobacteriota; Desulfuromonadia; Geobacterales; Geobacteraceae. The record is from RNAcentral.